GUCGGGCCCAAACCACCGCCCACUGCGGGACCAGCUCGGUCGGGCCCAAACCACCGCCCACUGCGGGACCAGCUCGGUCGGGCCCAAACCACUGCCCACUGCGGGACCAGCUCGGUCGUGGAGACCCUAACCCAGCGGCGCUAGAGGAAUUAAAGAAACACACACAGAAAUAUAGGUACCUCGCAAGGGUUUUUUGCAUGUCUGAUACCUACGGCUCCAACAGGACCCACUGACUGAUGAUGGCUCCACCUGGACCUGCCAACUACUCCUGCAGCCCCACCCAGAAGCGGUUCAGCACACGGGAGGAUCCUGUCUCACACCCUACGAUGGCCCCCCGCCCCCACAACCCAUCAGCAGCAAGCACCCACUGCCAAGCUACCCCACCCCUUCCCCCAAACUACCUUUGGAACACCCUAGUCCCCAAAUUCUUGGGGAGACUGAUUUCAGUAAUCAUC
RNAcentral lists this long non-coding RNA (455 nucleotides) under Homo sapiens (human). RNAcentral describes it as "non-protein coding LINC02166:7". Lineage: Eukaryota; Metazoa; Chordata; Mammalia; Primates; Hominidae. The record is from RNAcentral.